AGAGUUUGAUCCUGGCUCAGGAUGAACGCUGGCGGUGUGCCUAAUACAUGCAAGUCGGACGGGCAUAGCAAUAUGCUAGUGGCGACCGGGUGCGUAACACGUAGCUGACCUACCCUUCAGCGGGGGACAACAUGUCGAAAGACGUGCUAAUACCGCAUGGACUCUGUGAGACCAAACAUUGCAGAGGAAACACGCAAGUGGCUGAAGGAGGGGGCUGCGGCCCAUCAGGUAGUUGGUAAGGUAACGGCUUACCAAGCCAAUGACGGGUAGGGGGCCUGAGAGGGUGGACCCCCACACUGGGACUGAAAGACGGCCCAGACUCCUACGGGAGGCAGCAGUAAGGGAUAUUGGGCAAUGGGCGCAAGCCUGACCCAGCAACACCGCCUGCAGGAUGACGGCCUUCGGGUUGUAAACUGCUUUGGCGUGGGACGAGGAAGGACGGUACCACGCGAACAAGUCACGGCUAACUACGUGCCAGCAGCCGCGGUAAAACGUAGGUGGCAAGCGUUAUCCGGAUUUACUGGGCGUAAAGCGUGUGCAGGCGGGUGUCCAAGUGGUGUAUGAAAUGGCUCGGCUCAACCGGGCGAGGUUAUGCCAGACUGGAGACCUUGAGGCUGGAAGAGGGACAUGGAAUUCCGGGUGUAGUGGUGAAAUGCGUAGAGAUCCGGAGGAACUCCAGAGGCGAAGGCGGUGUCCUAGGCCAGACCUGACGCUCAGACACGAGAGCAUGGGGAGCGAACGGGAUUAGAAACCCCGGUAGUCCAUGCCGUAAACGAUGCGGACUAGGCGUGGGGGGACUCAACCCCCUCCGUGCCGAAGGGAACCCGAUAAGUCCGCCGCCUGGGGAGUACGACCGCAAGGUUAAAACUCAAAGGAAUUGACGGGGGCCCGCACAAGCAGCGGAGCGUGUGGUUUAAUUCGAGGCUACACGAAGAACCUUACCUGGGUUUGACAUGCAUCUGGUAGGGAAGUGAAAACGGACCGACCUUCGGGAGGAUGCACAGGUGCUGCAUGGCUGUCGUCAGCUCGUGCCGUGAGGUGUUAGGUUAAGUCCUGUAACGAGCGCAACCCUCGGGGUCAGUUACACGGUGUCUGGCCCGACCGCCCGCGAUAAGCCGGGAGGAAGGUGGGGAUGACGUCAAGUCAGCAUGGCCUUUAUAUCCAGGGCUACACACACGCUACAAUGGCCGGUACAAUGGGUGGCGAAGCGGUAACGCGGAGCAAAUCCAACAAAGCCGGUCCCAGUUCGGAUUGAGGGCUGCAACCCGCCCUCAUGAAGUCGGAGUUGCUAGUAACCGCCGGUCAGCUAUACGGCGGUGAAUACGUUCCCGGGCCUUGUACACACCGCCCGUCACGUCAUGGGAGCUGGCAAAGCCUGAAGCCAGUGGGCAAACCCGCAAGGGGAGCAGCUGUCGAAGGCAGGGCCGGUGACUGGGACGAAGUCGUAACAAGGUA
Molecule: ribosomal RNA, 1455 nt
Filed under: metagenome
Description: bacterial SSU rRNA
Rfam family: Bacterial small subunit ribosomal RNA
Source: RNAcentral